GCCGGCAUGGCAUAGUGGUUUGGGUGUGGAAUUAUGACUCUGGAGACCAGGGUUUGAUUCCCUGCUUGGCCA
Phrynosoma platyrhinos (Desert horned lizard) is the source of this 72-nucleotide non-coding RNA. The record is from the annotation of a GenBank genome assembly. Lineage: Eukaryota; Metazoa; Chordata; Lepidosauria; Squamata; Phrynosomatidae.